This 2312-nucleotide ribosomal RNA is filed under the name Listeria monocytogenes. RNAcentral's name for it is "partial 23S ribosomal RNA". It matches the Rfam family "Bacterial large subunit ribosomal RNA", at positions 1 to 2305 of the family's 2925-position model. Lineage: Bacteria; Bacillati; Bacillota; Bacilli; Caryophanales; Listeriaceae. The record is from RNAcentral.
GGUUAAGUUAGAAAGGGCGCACGGUGGAUGCCUUGGCACUAGGAGCCGAAGAAGGACGGGACUAACACCGAUAUGCUUUGGGGAGCUGUACGUAAGCGUUGAUCCAGAGAUUUCCGAAUGGGGGAACCCACUAUCUUUAGUCGGAUAGUAUCCUUACGUGAAUACAUAGCGUGAGGAAGGCAGACCCAGGGAACUGAAACAUCUAAGUACCUGGAGGAAGAGAAAGAAAAAUCGAUUUCCUGAGUAGCGGCGAGCGAAACGGAAAGAGCCCAAACCAAGAAGCUUGCUUCUUGGGGUUGUAGGACACUCUAUACGGAGUUACAAAAGAAAGUUAUAAAUGAAGCGGUCUGGAAAGGCCCGCCAAAGACGGUAACAGCCCGGUAGUUGAAAUAGCUUUCCCUCCAGAGUGGAUCCUGAGUACGGCGGAACACGUGAAAUUCCGUCGGAAUCCGGGAGGACCAUCUCCCAAGGCUAAAUACUCCCUAGUGACCGAUAGUGAACCAGUACCGUGAGGGAAAGGUGAAAAGCACCCCGGAAGGGGAGUGAAACAGUUCCUGAAACCGUGUGCCUACAAGUAGUUAGAGCCCGUUAAUGGGUGAUAGCGUGCCUUUUGUAGAAUGAACCGGCGAGUUACGAUUUGUUGCAAGGUUAAGCGGAAAAAGCGGAGCCGUAGCGAAAGCGAGUCUGAAUAGGGCGCAUAAGUAACAGGUCGUAGACCCGAAACCAGGUGAUCUACCCAUGUCCAGGAUGAAGGUAAGGUAAUACUUACUGGAGGUCCGAACCCACGCACGUUGAAAAGUGCGGGGAUGAGGUGUGGGUAGCGGAGAAAUUCCAAUCGAACUUGGAGAUAGCUGGUUCUCUCCGAAAUAGCUUUAGGGCUAGCCUCGAGGUAAAGAGUCAUGGAGGUAGAGCACUGUUUGGACUAGGGGCCCUUCUCGGGUUACCGAAUUCAGAUAAACUCCGAAUGCCAUGUACUUAUACUCGGGAGUCAGACUGCGAGUGAUAAGAUCCGUAGUCGAAAGGGAAACAGCCCAGACCACCAGUUAAGGUCCCCAAAUAUAUGUUAAGUGGAAAAGGAUGUGGGGUUGCUUAGACAACCAGGAUGUUGGCUUAGAAGCAGCCACCAUUGAAAGAGUGCGUAAUAGCUCACUGGUCGAGUGACCCCGCGCCGAAAAUGUACCGGGGCUAAACAUAUUACCGAAACUGUGGAUGAACCUCUUUAGAGGUUCGUGGUAGGAGAGCGUUCUAAGGGCGGUGAAGUCAGACCGGAAGGACUGGUGGAGCGCUUAGAAGUGAGAAUGCCGGUAUGAGUAGCGAAAGAAGGGUGAGAAUCCCUUCCACCGAAUAUCUAAGGUUUCCUGAGGAAGGCUCGUCCGCUCAGGGUUAGUCGGGACCUAAGCCGAGGCCGAUAGGCGUAGGCGAUGGACAACAGGUAGAGAUUCCUGUACCAGUGCUAAUUGUUUAACCGAUGGGGUGACACAGAAGGAUAGGGAAUCGCACGAAUGGAAAUGUGCGUCCAAGCAGUGAGUGUGAGAAGUAGGCAAAUCCGCUUCUCGCGAAGCAUGAGCUGUGAUGGGGAAGGAAAUUAAGUACGGAAGUUCCUGAUUUCACGCUGUCAAGAAAAGCCUCUAGGAAGAGUAGUACUGCCCGUACCGCAAACCGACACAGGUAGAUGAGGAGAGAAUCCUAAGGUGAGCGAGAGAACUCUCGUUAAGGAACUCGGCAAAAUGACCCCGUAACUUCGGGAGAAGGGGUGCUCUAUUAGGGUGCAAGCCCGAGAGAGCCGCAGUGAAUAGGCCCAGGCGACUGUUUAGCAAAAACACAGGUCUCUGCAAAACCGUAAGGUGACGUAUAGGGGCUGACGCCUGCCCGGUGCUGGAAGGUUAAGAGGAGUGCUUAGCUUCGGCGAAGGUACGAAUUGAAGCCCCAGUAAACGGCGGCCGUAACUAUAACGGUCCUAAGGUAGCGAAAUUCCUUGUCGGGUAAGUUCCGACCCGCACGAAAGGCGCAACGAUCUGGGCACUGUCUCAACGAGAGACUCGGUGAAAUUAUAGUACCUGUGAAGAUGCAGGUUACCCGCGACAGGACGGAAAGACCCCGUGGAGCUUUACUGCAACCUGAUAUGGAAUGUUUGUACCGCUUGUACAGGAUAGGUAGGAGCCGAAGAGACGUGUGCGCUAGCAUACGAGGAGGCAAUGGUGGGAUACUACCCUGGCUGUAUGACCAUUCUAACCCGCCACGCUUAGCGCGUGGGGAGACAGUGUCAGGUGGGCAGUUUGACUGGGGCGGUCGCCUCCUAAAGAGUAACGGAG